RNAcentral lists this ribosomal RNA (496 nucleotides) under uncultured bacterium. RNAcentral's name for it is "partial 16S ribosomal RNA". It matches the Rfam family "Bacterial small subunit ribosomal RNA", at positions 28 to 507 of the family's 1533-position model. The record is from RNAcentral.
GAUGAACGCUGGCGGCGUGCCUAAUACAUGCAAGUCGAGCGAACGGACGAGAAGCUUGCUUCUCUGAUGUUAGCGGCGGACGGGUGAGUAACACGUGGAUAACCUACCUAUAAGACUGGGAUAACUUCGGGAAACCGUAGCUAAUACCGGAUAAUAUUUUGAACCGCAUGGUUCAAAAGUGAAAGACGGUCUUGCUGUCACUUAUAGAUGGAUCCGCGCUGCAUUAGCUAGUUGGUAAGGUAACGGCUUACCAAGGCAACGAUGCAUAGCCGACCUGAGAGGGGGAUCGGCCACACGGGAACUGGGACACGGUCCGGACCCUAAGGGAGGCAGCCGUAGGGAAUCUUCCGGCAUGGGCGGAAGCCUGACGGAGCAACGCCGGGUGAGUGAUGAAGGUCCUCGGAUCGUAAAACUCUGUUAUUAGGGAAGAACAUAUGUGUAAGUAACUGUGCACAUCUUGACGGUACCUAAUCAGAAAGCCACGGCUAACUACGUG